GGGGCUGACCGGUUUUGACAGCGCGUAGAAGUGGUGUGUAAGCGUGCAGAGCUUUGAGGCAUAUGCUCUAUAAUAUCAGGCUUCGACCAAUUUAAAUGGCGAAAAUAACUACGCUCUUGCUGCCUAAUCGAAGUACAGUAGAUUACGCUUAAUCGCCGCAACAGUUGCAGCGACAAGACAUUGCCCGAUUGCCGUCGUUCCGAGGCCAAUCGAUCCGGCAGUGCUAAUAAAUCGGAAAUAGGGUCGCCGGCUCCUCGGAAGCGUCCCGAAGUUUUAGAGGAUAAGGAAGCGCUUGGUGGUUUCAGGCCUGACGCUUCCCGACAAUCAACUUGAAACUACGCACGUAGAAAGCUCAUUAGUUCCGCGUUUGGACGAGAGUUCGAAUCUCUCCAGCUCCACU
RNAcentral lists this transfer-messenger RNA (400 nucleotides) under human gut metagenome. It matches the Rfam family "transfer-messenger RNA". From Rfam's summary of the family: Bacterial tmRNA, also known as 10Sa RNA or SsrA, is named for its dual tRNA and mRNA-like properties. Its role is to liberate the mRNA from a stalled ribosome. To accomplish this part of the tmRNA is used as a reading frame that ends in a translation stop signal. The record is from RNAcentral.